Long non-coding RNA from Spea bombifrons (plains spadefoot toad), 622 nucleotides. RefSeq lists it as uncharacterized. The record is from RefSeq and is a predicted model, not a curated record. The transcript is spliced from 3 exons. Lineage: Eukaryota; Metazoa; Chordata; Amphibia; Anura; Pelobatidae.
AGCUCAUUCUGAGCUUGCUGGCAAGCAGUGUAGGCCUCUCCAUUGAACUGGACUCUGUGUAGGACUUGUUUUUGCAGAUUUUUGGAAUAUUUAAUACGUUUUUCCAGACACAUUGAAGAUGAUUUCUAAAAGGCUCAAAUCCCAUUGGAGGACGCCUAUUGGAGACUAACAUUUCUUAGCUCUUCGCUUGGUAGUGACUGGCAGGCGGGGACGUCCAAGAUAUGAUAUAAACGUGGAACAUAUUUCUGCUUUUUCAACUCUUGGUUUUCAUUGGCAAACAAUUUCUAAAUGUUUUGGUAUUAGCCGUUGGACUUUGUAUCAUCAUAGCCAAAGAACUGGAUUUUGAAGACCCCGAUUAUCAAAUAUUUCUGAUUCUGAACUUCAAAAUCUUAUAUAUGAAAUUCUCAUCACUACUCCAAAAUGCAGGAGAAGUCUAUCUAAUUGGUAGCUUAAAUGCAAGACAAACUCAAGUUUAAUGUUUAUUGACCUGGUUGGAAGAACAAUCAGAAGAAGAUCAGCUAUCCAGAGAAGAGUUUCUAAUGUAUUAUGUUCUAAUCAAUUAUGGUAAAUUUUAUAUUUUGUAAUAAAAAAUAUAAUACUGUAUCAUUCGCUUAAAAAUUGU